Molecule: long non-coding RNA, 312 nt
Organism: Diospyros lotus (date-plum)
Lineage: Eukaryota; Viridiplantae; Streptophyta; Magnoliopsida; Ericales; Ebenaceae
Exons: 2
Source: RefSeq, a predicted model, not a curated record
UGAGAGGAAGAAAAAUAAUACAAAGUUUGAAAGAUUUUAGAAAUUUAUUUGAAGUUCGAGAAACGUGUUGGGGCUCGAAAUUUAGUAUUUAAAAGCUUGGCACCGGAGUUGAGGUUGGGCGAAUUUUGAGGCAUUCUGAAUUAUAUUCAAGGUGAAGGCAGCGGUACGAAGGGAAAAGAAAUUGUCGAGAAGUGACAGUGAUUAGAGGAUGUUUUAUAUUAUGUCCUUUUAGUUAUGUUAUUUAUUUUGAGAACAUCAUGUAAGCGUUGGUGCAACUUUAUAUUAUAAAUAAAGUGGUUUCGGUUUCGAUUA